CGAUCACUCAAGUUCACCCAUCACUGUCCAGGCACUAUGGUUCAUAUUCCAUGCUCAAACCAGCAGACAUCAAGGACCCAGGCUUUUAUGAAACCAGGACCAGAUGUCAGCCAGCCACAGCCUCAAUUAAUCUCCAAGGCCUUGUAACAAGCCCCGAGAAGAAACUCAAAACAAUCUUUGGGUGCGUAGGUCUAGGAGGACAGAGAGGCAGAGAUGGUGAGAGGGAAGCGAGGGUGAGAGAUGCUAUCCAGGGAGCACGGAGCCUGGCUAGCGAGCCUGCACAAGGGGAGAUAAGAAGGGGCGGCUGGGCGGUGGUGGAGCCUGGGUCACAGAGAAGAGGCUGGGGUUAUUCAUUGCCUUGCCGUGAAAGCUUGAGAAGAUUACCCAGGGCCUGGCUGGCAGUGAUACCGAGGGAGCGGACAGGCAGAGCAGUGGGGGGCCCCCUUUCACCCCCUUUGUUCCCAUCCAUCUGCUUGGAUCUUACAAUGGCUCAUAGAGACAGGGGGCUGGAGGGGUGCAGCCUGCAAGAAAGAGGGACCGACCUGAUGGAAAGCGGUGUACCAGGGAGAGUGAAACCAAGAAAGGGAGGGGAGAAGAGAUAGAGGAGGACAGGAUACACAACGAAUGAGGACUCAAGCACACGGCUUGUUGAGAUUGAAUGAAUGGCGCUGCAGCUGACAAGCUCUGACAUACUACAUUGGGAGAGGCGAUGGAGGCGGGUGUUUACAUUGUCUUUUUCCGGGCCGGUAAUGGGCUAGCAGCUCCUCUUCACUCUGUAUAAUCAGUACUUUGGAUAGACUCAGACGCCUCUUCAAACCAUGAUAAAUAAACUACUCCAAAACCUUUGCGACUGAGAGGACAGCAUUUGUCUGUCAAUGUGUUGACCACUGUAUUCAUCUUGUUGAGGAAUGAUCAGAUGAUAAAGGAGUUGUGUCCUGUAAAAUGUUGUCCAGACAAACUAUACCUCCACUCACAACAAAAGGGUUUUGUCCUUUGAUUAUCUAUGUUCCACUUGUAGAAUAGCAGACAGGUUUAAAGUGGUAAGCAUUGUUAGGAAGAGUGUUUAUGGUCGUUGCAUUGCAUUGACAAUGGGGUGGAAUAUUACUUUGGUAAUACCUCAUGAGUAAGUUUAUUAAUGAUGAAAUAUGGAAAUGUAUUACUACUGUGGUCUAUGGAUGGAUGCCAAGAGGAAUAUGUGUGUGUGUGUACGUGUGUGUACAGAUGUAGGAUCUUUAUUUGAGCCAGUUUGCUACUGUCACGUCCUGACCAGUAAAGGGGUUAUUUGUAAAUGUAAAUUUGUUAUUGUAAGUAUGGUCAGGACGUGGCAGGGGGUGUUUGUUUUAGGUGUUUCGGGGUUUUUUGGUCAGUGUUCUAUGUUAGUCUAUUUCUAUGUCUGUGUCUAGUUUAUCUAUUUCUAUGCUUAGUUUAUUGGUUUGACCUUCAAUUGGAGACAGCUGUUUCUCGUUGCCUCUAAUUGAAGGUCCUAUUUAGUAGGGGUGUUUUUUCAUGGGUUUUUGUGGGUAGUUGUUCCAUGUGUAUGCCUCACAGGACUGUUUUUUCGUCGUCGUUGUUUUCAUUUAAGUGUUUGUUUUGGUUUUCUUCACAAUAAAGAAGAUGAGCAUACACAUUCCCGCUGCGCCUUGGUCCCAUCUUUACGACGAGCGUGACAGCUACAGCAGGAAAAUAAUCCUGCAGCGAAAGGAAAUUAUUAUGUGAAUUAUAAUUAAUGGAAAAAUGUGUAGGGGUUGAUACAUUUUUCAUAAGGGCAAAUCAAGUCUGACAUUUUAAAGUGGAAAUGACAAACUUUAGAAUACUUUUUAAACCUUGAAUACACUUCAAGUUUGCAUUUCCUCAGCAAAAAAAUCAUCAAAUUAAGAUCCUAUAUCUGUAGGUGGUAAUGCCUUUGAGCUUGUUUUUUGCUCUUACUUUUUUAAGAAGAUAACUCACCAUGAACUGCCGCUGUACAGUAAUUCAUGACUCACUGAAUAUAUUAGAGAAAGAAUAGAUGUUGUAUUGCUGAGGAUAAGGCAAUCUUCCUUAUGAAAGUGUGAUCUCUGAUAAAAGGUUAUAUUGCUGUUGCAGUCUAAUCUUAUUAUUAAAAGUGGUGUUGAUAUA
RNAcentral lists this long non-coding RNA (2115 nucleotides) under Salmo salar (Atlantic salmon). RNAcentral describes it as "lncRNA (ENSSSAG00000044794.2)". The record is from RNAcentral. Lineage: Eukaryota; Metazoa; Chordata; Actinopteri; Salmoniformes; Salmonidae.